UGGGGAAUAUUGUGCAAUGGGCGAAAGCCUGACGCAGCGACGCCGCGUGAGGGAUUAAGGUUUUCGGAUCGUAAACCUCUGUCAGAAGGGAAGAAACCGCACUGUGCUAAUCAGCAGUGCCUUGACGGUACCUUCAAAGGAAGCACCGGCUAACUCCGUGCCAGCAGCCGCGGUAAUACGGAGGGUGCAAGCGUUAAUCGGAAUUACUGGGCGUAAAGCGCACGUAGGCUGCUUUGUAAGUCAGGGGUGAAAUCCCACGGCUCAACCGUGGAACUGCCUUUGAUACUGCUUAGCUUGAAUCCGGGAGAGGGUGGCGGAAUUCCAGGUGUAGGAGUGAAAUCCGUAGAUAUCUGGAGGAACAUCAGUGGCGAAGGCGGCCACCUGGACCGGUAUUGACGCUGAGGUGCGAAAGCGUGGGGAGCAAACAGG
RNAcentral lists this ribosomal RNA (429 nucleotides) under Fusobacteriota bacterium. RNAcentral's name for it is "Fusobacteria bacterium partial 16S ribosomal RNA". It matches the Rfam family "Bacterial small subunit ribosomal RNA", at positions 355 to 776 of the family's 1533-position model. Lineage: Bacteria; Fusobacteriati; Fusobacteriota. The record is from RNAcentral.